RNAcentral lists this long non-coding RNA (1369 nucleotides) under Mus pahari (shrew mouse). RNAcentral describes it as "lncRNA (MGP_PahariEiJ_G0004456.1)". Lineage: Eukaryota; Metazoa; Chordata; Mammalia; Rodentia; Muridae. The record is from RNAcentral.
ACAUGCUGUGUCCCACUUUGUCCUCGGAGCCGGGCUCGGGGGUGGUGCCUUGGUGCCCACAGUCCUCCCUCCCCUUUCUUCUCCUCAUCCUUCUGCUUUGUUCUUAUCUCCCUUUCUCCUUCCCCUCUUUCUCUUCUCUCUCCAUCUCUUUCUGUCUCCCCCACUUCUCCAUACUGCAUUCAUUCCAGUGCAUGCUUCCUUAGGAAGGUCCCUACCCCCACCUAUCCUUUUAUAUGUAUAUUUGGGACAUACUGAGGAAGGACCCUUGUUGCAAGCGCUCUUUGCUAGCAGGAUAAGGUGACACCAGGAUAAGGUGACACGUUUAAUCUGGGCCUGCAUUUGGGAAAAGGAGGCAGAGACCCACCCACGGUCCCAGUUUCUGUGUGGGUGGCUGAGGAGGAGCCUUGCUUGACCAUCAGUUGGAUGCCACGACACCCAGAGCCCCUGUUUCCUGCCUUCUCUUGGGGCCUCACCUUUGUGUUAUGACCCUGAGGUUGAGAAACACUGGUAUGGGUAAAAUGGAAACUUUAGGAAUUCCCACCGAGACUCUAGGAUGCCAUCUGGGACACCAGUACAAGGACCCCCCAUAAAGUCAGGACCAUGAGUGUUCCCCCUAAGUUCAUGCUUUGACAAAGCCCUCCCAUUAAAGGAGGAUCCCAGAGCUUUGUGCUUUAGCAAGGUGAAGCCAAAUGAAAAGGCAGGGAGGGCCCUGCUGGGUGGUUCCUGGUUCCCCUCACAGCGCAUCAUACAGAUUGGUAGGCUGAGGUGUGGAGAGACGCUUAGUUGCAGGUCUGAGCCACCACUGAGUCUGGGUCUGUAUUCUUACCUGCCUACUAUGUGAGCCUGGAACCUUUUAGGAUGGUAGCAUGUAGCCCUGAGGUCCCGGUUGCGGAUGAGGGAAUCGUACCAGGAAUGGGGCAAUGCCUUAGCCCCCAGCUCAGCCUUUACCAUGAACCCCAAUUUCCAGGCCAAGCUGGCUUCCCUGGUCCACAAGUGCCAGGAGAGGAACCGCCUGAUUGAGCACCUACUGCAGGAGCUGCCAAGGCACGAGCCCAGGAACCGUCUGCUCUCUGAGCUGGCAGAGAACAUGCUUGGGGAUGUGGCCCUGGCUGAGUAUAGCGCCACCUUCCUGACCCCAGGAGCACCCGAGACGUUCUGCCACCUGGAUGUGAGCUCCAAGGAGACCUCAGCCGGAGGAGGUCAGUGCACCUGCCAGAAACCUUUCUGUUUGUUCAGCAGAAGCCAGGGCCGGGUGGGGUGGGUGCAAACUGCCCAAUGUCAAGCUUGUACCAUGAAGGGGACUUCCUCUCUCUCCUUCUCUUUCUGCUGCUCAGCCCUGUCUUACCACCACAUAGCAUCAGAACAUACU